This 459-nucleotide ribosomal RNA is filed under the name uncultured bacterium. RNAcentral's name for it is "partial 16S ribosomal RNA". It matches the Rfam family "Bacterial small subunit ribosomal RNA", at positions 338 to 795 of the family's 1533-position model. The record is from RNAcentral.
CCUACGGGCGGCAGCAGUGAGGAAUAUUGGUCAAUGGCCGGAAGGCUGAACCAGCCAAGCCGCGUGAAGGACGAAGGUGCCAAGCAUUGUAAACUUCUUUUGUCAAGGGACAAAAUCAGGCUCGAGAGCCUGACCGAGGGUACUUGAAGAAAAAGCAUCGGCUAACUCCGUGCCAGCAGCCGCGGUAAUACGGAGGAUGCGAGCGUUAUCCGGAUUUAUUGGGUUUAAAGGGUGCGUAGGCGGGCUGUUAAGUCAGCGGUAAAAGCCCGGGGCUCAACCCCGGCGAGCCGUUGAAACUGGCUGUCUUGAGAUGUCGAGAGGUAUGCGGAAUGCGCAGUGUAGCGGUGAAAUGCUUAGAUAUCACACAGAACACCGAUUGCGAAGGCAGCUUUCCAAGCUAUUACUGACGCUGAGGCACGAAAGCGUGGGGAGCGAACAGGAUUAGAUACCCCAGUAGUC